UCGGACUUCAUAUCCGCCUUGUUGUCCGGCUUGGCUUCGGGCGCUUUCGCCUCCCCCUGCAUGUCACCGGGUACCGACGCCAUCGCCUGCGCGGUUUUCGCCGCGGCCUCGCGCUGCUGUUUCACGUCUUUCUGAUAAUCGAACACCGCCUGCGCCAGUUCCGGUGUCGCUUGCAAACCAGGCGCAUCGAGCAGCGCCGCGUUGGGCCGGCCCAGUUCCGCUUUCACAAAGCCGC
This 235-nucleotide unclassified non-coding RNA is filed under the name Hevea brasiliensis (rubber tree). Lineage: Eukaryota; Viridiplantae; Streptophyta; Magnoliopsida; Malpighiales; Euphorbiaceae. The record is from RNAcentral.